Gasterosteus aculeatus (three-spined stickleback) is the source of this 3982-nucleotide long non-coding RNA. Lineage: Eukaryota; Metazoa; Chordata; Actinopteri; Perciformes; Gasterosteidae. The record is from Ensembl.
AUGCAGUGUGUGUGUGUGUGUGCGUNNNNNNNNNNNNNNNNNNNNNNNNNNNNNNNNNNNNNNNNNNNNNNNNNNNNNNNNNNNNNNNNNNNNNNNNNNNNNNNNNNNNNNNNNNNNNNNNNNNNCCACAGCCCCCAGGAUCACAGCGAACUGACCAACAAACCUUCAUUCACUCAACCGCUGGAUUACAACAUGAAGGGGAUCAAUUCCUUUCAACCUUUUCAUCGGAUUGGACAGAGAUCUGCUGCAGAAGUCUUCAUCUUGUGUUCAGACAAUGACCCAAAAAGUACAAAAAACCUUCUCAUUUGGCCUAUUUUAGUCUUUUUCACAUCCAUCAACAUUGAAAUAGCCUCAGAACGCAAACUAAACCCAAACAUUUUAAUUUAUCCUUUGUAGCAACCAGAAGAUCAAGGUCCGCUCCAGAGACCUCAAGCAGAACAACGGGGAGACAUUUGUAAGCAACCUGUGGAAACACUUCUUUGACUUGUUUUACUUUGAUGUAACAGUCAAAGUUUGUAUCAUACAUUACUACAGUAAAUGUAAAUGGUGCUUCGACGUGACACCUGAUUAGUAGAAGAGAUGUUUUUAGCGCAGACAAUUAACGUCACGCCGACGCAAAGUUCUGCUUGGAUCUGUAUUCGUGUCUUUCAUCGCCUUGCAAAAGGCCCGUUUCGUCGAAAGCACUUGAUUGGAAGAUCGGCCUCUCGUGUCGUCCGACACUCCGGCUCGCCGUCAGCUCGCCACGGAUGCACAGCGGCCUGCAGAUUGCGGCCGAGUUCUCUGGGGACAGUUUGCGCGAGGCUCCACUUGCGUUUAGCUGACGAGUCGGGGGCGGAUAUUCUUCUUAUUGGCUCUCUGAUUCAUUUCAUAUCAUCAGGAGACACUUCGUAAAGUUGUCUUCACUCAAGUUCAGUGGUUUCUAUGUCGUACUUUACUUACUUCUACUCUAACUUCACUGGAACAAUGACGCUGUCUUUGUCCAUCCGGAGGUUUGUCUCUUGAUCCUCUCGAUGGAUGAAGGUGCUGAUUUUGGACAUUCUGCUCAGCAUCUGAAACCCACGACACACACUUUGUGAUCUUAUGCUCAAUAACUGCAUUUGGCUUAGUUUGGCUGAGUCGUUUUCUGCCUGGUACCAUAUUAAUUGCAUGUUGGAUUAAACUGCACGUGCAAUCAUGAGAAAGUAAUUCACUGUUGUCUGUUUCAGUCCGUUCAGCUGACAAACCCUCGCUGUGGUGUCAAAAUACGAUUUAUUCAGGCAAAUUAUGGAGGGAAGUUCAUACAACAGAAGCGACUCUUCUGCAACGGAUCGUGCUCUUCCUAAUGUGCUAAAUUCAGGAAGUUUUAUCAAAUUUAGCAAUUCCAUGCAACUUCAAGAAUGUAAACAGAAAUACGUGAAUGGAGCCGCGGUCGUUGUACCUUCUCUGGUUUGCGCUGCACGUACAUUCAUUACUCCCACGAAGAUGCCGCUCACAGCUUCUCACGUUGAGACGACACAUCAUCCAAUUCCCCAAAGCGCUCUGCUGAAAAGACACAGCUCUUCUUUUUAAAGAAUAUCUGGGUCAAAUACUUACAUGGGAUUCUUUUAAAGCAACAACAUUCAAAUAUUUUCACCAUAAAAUAGGGAUCUAUUUCCCUGAAACGAUCCGGUGGUUCAUUCAUUAGUUACAGACAUUUCAUCAAUGAUUAAUAGACUUUUGAUUUGAGUACAUAAAGAACAAUAUACACCUCCAAAUGCACCGCGUUUGCUGGUGACACCUGCUCAAAACGUAUGUAACGUAUGAAACAUCACACGAAAAUUAGUACGUUAGCACGUUAGCUGCUAACGUUAGCAUCCACCCCGAAGUACAGCUGAUUCAUACGCCGUGUGUAGUGUGGCGUUGAUCCAGGUAACAUUAUGGCCUUAUUAACUGACCGGUCAAGUUAAUAUUAAAUAACCCAAAUUUCCCCUUUUAGUUUUAAAGAUCAAGGAAUUAUAAGUAAAAAAUCGUAAAAUCGUAAAAGUUAGUUAGCCGGCGUUUAGUGAUCUGUUUAUUUGUCUGUAACUGUUUACGUGUCAGACGCUUUCUUGUAAAUCUUUAAUCUCUCCAGUAAACAUUGUUUAUUAGGACGAGUUUGAGGGUUUCCACUUCAUUAGACGUUCAAACAAGCCGCGAAUGUCACUUCCAGAAGUUAAGAAGUGAUGUUUGUGCAGCGCUUCGCCCUCAGCGAGGUUUGGUUCUGGGGGGUGGGGGUUGUUUUCUGAGGGGGCUCCUCGGGGGCCACGUGGCCCGUGGAUCCUGGAGAAGGUCCUUAUCUGUUCUUUGUCGAGCUCGCUGCUCCCACAGAUUACAGCAACGGAUUCAGAGCUUUUAUUCUGUGCACAAAUCAUAUUAACGACAUGUUCUAAAUGAACAAUGACACGUUUAUCAUUCAGCUUUAUUGCCGCUGUAGCCCGACCCCUGUUUGACCCGUAUUUCACUUCAGUUCUUUUCCCCUGGUGUCAUUUUACCCGUAGAUGAUAAGCUGUCCACGAGAUGUUCCCUCCAACAUGAAGCCCACAGAGAAGCCUCCUCAGCGCUCAUGCUGCUCGGCUGCCGUCGACUUUAUUAACUAACACAAUAUUUAUUUCACUCUCCUCUUUUUUUAAUAUCCCUUUUUUUUCCCCCCCCCCCCCCCCCCUUUUUUGUUUUUAUCCUGCUUUGUAAUUAUUGACUUUCUCUUCUACUUGCCAAAAAAAAAGUUAUUGGCGAGAUCUCAUUAUAACGUGCAAAUAUUUUCCAUGAAGUUGCGUGAGGACUUUAGUUUGAAGGAUUAAUUGCUUGUUUUUAAUGAACUCAUCCACAUAAAACAGCCACGGCAAUUUGAAAUGCCUCCAUGUUUCAGUAGCGAUGGGGCGUGUCCUCCGCACACCUCCGUGGUUUGGGCGUGGCGGCGGCGGCGGCGUGCGUUGGCCAAAGGGAGGUGUGACUCAGGUGCCCUCUACUGGCGGAGGCGGCUCCACAUCCGUCGGCCCCCGAGGGCGUCUGAGGGAAACACAGGCUUGCUGCAUUGGUGAUAGUAGUUCCUUGUCUCUGGGACAUCAUGAAACUUGAAACCGAAUCAGAACUUUUAGAAUCCUGGUUAAAAUGAGCCGACACGCCGGCGCUGUGGACACAGAAUCCGCCGGGGGCCACUUAAGUCUCUGAGGCCGCGUGCAUGAGAGGGGGAGGCGGACCUCUGCUUAUCUUUCCCAUGAUACGGCGUCUCACGCUGCGUGGGGCUGGCCUCGCCGCUCCCCCCCCCCCCCCCCCCCCCCCCGGCCCGGCUAUUCUCCCGCCUCAAUAGCUCUGCUUGACUCCCCCAGCGGAGCCCCGAGUUGUCUGAGGGCUCGCGGCGAGGAGUCCCUCUUCUCUCGGGGACCCUCGAUCCGCCACUCGGCCCCCGCCAUCAGGCCGGAGGAGGGGGGGGCGGGCCCCGUCCGCGGCCCUCGCUAAGGAGACGCCGACACAAAGGGCAGAAAAUGAGAAAGGAAGAAAGGAAAGUUGACCCGGCGGCGGCCGGUGGUCUGACAGCACGAUUUAUGGCGAGAGCUCGAGGCUCUCGGUUCCCUCGCACGGCGCUUCCCAGCGGCCCGCAGACGGGGGAGGCAGGGAGGCCCGGCGGAGAAAGAAAGAAAGAAAGGGAGGGAGGGAGGUGGAAAGACAAGAGGGACGGGGGGAGGCGAAAAGGUGACGCAGGGGUGAGGCGUCAUGGCGGUGAGAGGAGGUGGGGGGCGCCGGGAGGAGGAGAAAGAAUAAGUGAGUGACGUAUCAGAUGAAGAGAGAUUUAAACCUACAGAGGAUGGAAACGUGAAGGACGUACGUCGCAUCCUGCUACGAUGGAAGAAGAUGAAGAAGAUGAAGAAGAUGAUACCUCGCUGUGAUCCACGUUUUUUUUUUUUUUUUGGUUUCCAGUUCUCUUGAGAGAGACAUCAGCGCUCUGUCUGCUCGUGGUUGCCAUGGACACCUGGCAGCCGCGUUGCCA